This 226-nucleotide ribosomal RNA is filed under the name uncultured bacterium. RNAcentral describes it as "partial 16S ribosomal RNA". It matches the Rfam family "Bacterial small subunit ribosomal RNA", at positions 538 to 763 of the family's 1533-position model. The record is from RNAcentral.
GCGUUGCUCGGAAUCACUGGGCGUAAAGGGCGCGUAGGCGGCCAUUCAAGUCAGGGGUGAAAGCCCGAGGCUCAACCUCGGAAUUGCCCUUGAUACUGUUUGGCUCGAGACCGGUAGAGGUAAGUGGAACUGCGAGUGUAGAGGUGAAAUUCGUAGAUAUUCGCAAGAACACCAGUGGCGAAGGCGGCUUACUGGACCGGUUCUGACGCUGAGGCGCGAAAGCGUG